UGAGGAAUAUUGGUCAAUGGGCGAGAGCCUGAACCAGCCAAGUAGCGUGCAGGAUGACGGCCCUAUGGGUUGUAAACUGCUUUUAUAUGGGAAUAAAGUGAGGGACGUGUCCCUUAUUGCAUGUACCAUACGAAUAAGGACCGGCUAAUUCCGUGCCAGCAGCCGCGGUAAUACGGAAGGUCCAGGCGUUUUCCGGAUUUAUUGGGUUUAAAGGGAGCGUAGGCUGUUUGUUAAGCGUGUUGUGAAAUGUAAGAGCUCAACUUUUAGGUUGCAGCGCGAACUGGCAGACUUGAGUGCGCACAACGUAGGCGGAAUUCAUGGUGUAGAGGUGGAAUGCUUAGAUAUCAUGACGAGAUCCGAUUGCGAAGGCAGCUUACGGGUGCGCAACAGACGCUAAAGCUCGAAGGUGCGGGUAUCGAACAGG
This 424-nucleotide ribosomal RNA is filed under the name Verrucomicrobiota bacterium. RNAcentral describes it as "Verrucomicrobia bacterium partial 16S ribosomal RNA". It matches the Rfam family "Bacterial small subunit ribosomal RNA", at positions 355 to 776 of the family's 1533-position model. The record is from RNAcentral. Lineage: Bacteria; Pseudomonadati; Verrucomicrobiota.